AUGGGGAAUAAGAAGGGCGGGUCGUCGUGGCUCACCGCCGUCAAGCGGGCCUUUCGCUCGCCGUCCAAGGAGGACAGCCCCAAGAAGUCUGCACGCCUCCGCGAGGACCCUGACGCCGACGAGGACAAGACCAAGCGGGAGAGGCGGAGAUGGCUCUUCAGGAGAUCCUCGUCCCCGUCUCCGUCUCCGGCGUCUGCCCCCGCGCCGCCGGAGCAGCAGCAGUCCGCAGCGAGGUCGGCACCCGCACCCGCUGUGACGGACGAGCAGCGUCACGCCAUCGCGCUGGCUGUGGCGACCGCGGCGACGGCCGAGGCUGCCGUGGCCACUGCACAGGCGGCGGCCGAGGUAGUCCGCCUGACCCGCCCCUCCUCCAGCUUCGUGCGGGAGCACUACGCCGCCGUCGUCGUACAGACCGCCUUCCGAGGCUACCUGGCGAGGCGUGCUCUGCGCGCGCUCAAGGGGCUGGUGAAGCUGCAGGCGCUGGUGCGCGGGCACAACGUGCGGAAGCAGGCCAACAUGACGCUGCGGUGCAUGCAGGCGCUGGUGCGCGUCCAGGCGCGGGUGCGCGACCAGCGGAUGCGACUCUCCCAGGAGUCCUUGUCCGCCGCCGGUGCGGCCGCCUGCGGCAGCAGCAAAUCCUCCUACAGCGUUGACACAUCCGCUUUCUGGGACUCCAAGUACACCCAGGAAUACGCCGAACGCCGCUCUGUGGAGCGGUCGCGAGACGGCAGCAUCUUCGCCGCCGAAGACUGGGACGACCGGCCGCGGACGAUAGAGGAGAUUCAGGCGAUGCUGCAGACGAGGAAAGACGCUGCUCUCAAGCGUGAGAGAGCGCUCUCAUACGCCUUUUCUCACCAAAUUUGGAGGAACCCCGCGCCGUCAGUCGAGGAGGAGAUGGACGUCGACGGGCAGCCGCGCUGGGCGGAGAGGUGGAUGGCGUCGCGCGCGUCGUUUGAUACAAACAGGAGCAGCGCCCGAACUGCCGCGGCGGCGGCUGCCGCGGCACCAGGGCGCGCGUCCACGGACCACCGCGACCAGGUCAAGACGUUGGAGAUCGACACUGGGCGGCCAUUCUCCUACUCCACGCCUCGCCGGCACGCCCCACCGUCGCAGCACGGGAACGGCUCGCCGAUGCACCGUGCGCACAACCAGGCUUCUGCCACGCCGUCACCGGGGAAGGCGAGGCCACCGAUACAGGUGCGCUCCGCGAGCCCGCGAGUGGAGCGCGGCACAAGUGGUGGAGGAGGAAGCUACACACCGAGCUUGCACUCCCAGCGCCAUGCGUCCUCCGGCUCGGCGGUGCCGAACUACAUGGCGGCCACGGAAUCUGCAAAGGCACGUAUCCGCUCCCAGAGCGCGCCACGGCAACGCCCUGCAACCCCGGAGCGCGACCGGCCACAGACCGCCUAUAACCCCGCCGGAGGGAGCGCGAAGAAGCGGCUGUCGUUCCCCGUCCCUCAGGACCCGUACGGCGUUGGGUACGCGCAGAGCCUGCGGAGCCCGAGCUUCAAGAGCGCGACGGGGCGGUUCACCUCCGAGCAGCGUUCCACCGUGUCGUCUCUGUCGUGCGCAGAGAGCGUCGGCGGGGAACCAGUCUCCCCGUCGUCCACCACUGACCUCCGCCGCUGGCUCCGUUGA
Molecule: ribosomal RNA, 1638 nt
Filed under: Triticum aestivum (bread wheat)
Lineage: Eukaryota; Viridiplantae; Streptophyta; Magnoliopsida; Poales; Poaceae
Description: partial small subunit ribosomal RNA
Source: RNAcentral